This 446-nucleotide ribosomal RNA is filed under the name uncultured bacterium. Its description in RNAcentral is "bacterial SSU rRNA". It matches the Rfam family "Bacterial small subunit ribosomal RNA", at positions 331 to 794 of the family's 1533-position model. The record is from RNAcentral.
CCAGACUCCUACGGGAGGCAGCAGUGGGGAAUAUUGCACAAUGGGGGAAACCCUGAUGCAGCGACGCCGCGUGAGUGAAGAAGUAUUUCGGUAUGUAAAGCUCUAUCAGCAGGAAAGAAAAUGACGGUACCUGACUAAGAAGCCCCGGCUGACUACGUGCCAGCAGCCGCGGUAAUACGUAGGGGGCAAGCGUUAUCCGGAUUUACUGGGUGUAAAGGGAGCGUAGACGGUGAAGCAAGUCUGAAGUGAAAGGCGGGGGCUCAACCCCCGGACUGCUCUGGAAACUAUUGAACUUGAGUGCAGGAGAGGUAAGCGGAAUUCCUAGUGUAGCGGUGAAAUGCGUAGAUAUUAGGAGGAACACCAGUGGCGAAGGCGGCUUACUGGACUGUAACUGACGUUGAGGCUCGAAAGCGUGGGGAGCAAACAGGAUUAGAUACCCUUGUAGA